ACAGAACAGGAUAAUUGAUUGAUUGAUCCAUCCACUGUCAUCCCGUCCCAACUUCUGGCAUUUGGAGGUUUAGGGAUAUUUAUAGCAUGGGGUUGAAUCCCUGACCAUCUUGGCUAAUAGCCAUUGAUGGGACCUAUCCUCCAUGAACUUAUUGAAUGCUUUUUUUAACCCCAUUAUAGUUUUGGCCUUCA
This is a long non-coding RNA of Chelonia mydas (Green sea turtle), 191 nucleotides long. RefSeq lists it as uncharacterized. NCBI's taxonomy places the organism in Eukaryota, Metazoa, Chordata, Testudines, Cheloniidae. The record is from RefSeq and is a predicted model, not a curated record. The transcript is spliced from 4 exons.